UACGUAGGGGGCAAGCGUUGUCCGGAUUUAUUGGGCGUAAAGCGCACGCAGGCGGUCAAGGAAGUUCAGGGUGACAGUUCCCGGCUUAACUGGGGAAGGGCCUUGAAAACUCCUGGACUUGAGGGCUUCAGAGGGACACGGAAUUCCGGGUGGAGUGGUGAAAUGCGUAGAGAUCCGGAGGAACACCAAAGGCGAAGGCAGUGUCCUGGGAAGCAUCUGACGCUCAGGUGCGAAAGCUAGGGGAGCGAAC
RNAcentral lists this ribosomal RNA (250 nucleotides) under uncultured bacterium. RNAcentral's name for it is "partial 16S ribosomal RNA". It matches the Rfam family "Bacterial small subunit ribosomal RNA", at positions 524 to 773 of the family's 1533-position model. The record is from RNAcentral.